RNAcentral lists this long non-coding RNA (2209 nucleotides) under Marmota monax (woodchuck). The record is from RNAcentral. Lineage: Eukaryota; Metazoa; Chordata; Mammalia; Rodentia; Sciuridae.
UGUCAUCUGUACCUCUCUAUUCAGACAUUUUUUCUGAUUAUAAAAGAUUAAAAAUUUACAGUAAAAAGUCUAGGAAUACAAAUAAGCAAAAAAUGUAUAAUAAUUACCAACAAUUCCAUCAUAUAGAGUAAUCUGUUACUAUUGUGGCAAGUACGAUUCUAGAAAGGAAAAAGGUUUAAUGACUUCCACCCCUGAUUUCUCUUUCCAAAGCUCUAGAUUCUCCUCCUAAAGAUAAGGAUUAGGGUCUGAGUAAAUUGCAGUGACUAGGGUCUCUAAAGGGAGCCCCUGCAGUUAAACCUAUAUCCAUUUCCUCUCCAGAUUCAAAGGCGAAGGAACAGUACAGGGACUACAAUAAAACUUAUUUAUCACACAUUUCUCUAUGUGUAAAUGAAGAGUUUAAGACUAAUGGUAAAAUAGCUCAUGUUUCUUACAUUAAUACAACUUUUGAAUUGAGACUCUGUUUUGUGUAAAAGAUAUCACAAGCGGAGUUGUGCAGCAAAGAUGUGCUGGGCCCAUAAAACACUUCACACACUUCAGGGACACGUUCCACGGAUCAUUCAGUCCUCAGCAUGGGAAGUAUGUAAAUUUGACUUCUUCAAGCUCAUACACAGUCCUUUUAGUCCUUAGGUUAUUGCAUCUGUAGAAUUAGCAUGAUACACAAAGUGCCCUUUAAACAAUUCUGUUCUCUUACAAGUCUUUGUCCAACUCUGUAUUUGCAUGAGCUCUUCCAAAUAAAAUAUGAUUUUAGUUUAUUAAUAAUCCAUUAGAAGAGAAGGAAAAGAGAUGCUACACUCUUAAAAAAAGAAAAAAGAAAAACUCACAUGGAGUUUAAGUGAGUCCACAGGAUGGUUUUUUUAAAAUAAAAACCUUGUUCCAUCUCAGCCUUUCUAUCUUAGUGUUCCUUAUCUCAACAGAUACAUCAUGGAUAUGCAUCUUCUUUGGAAACACAUUGUUGCCAUAAGCUAAGGGCUUUAGAAAACAUUAUGCAAAUAUGAAGCAUAUGUCUGAUGAUGUAUUCUACCCAUCUGUUUUUCAGCUCUAAUUGAACUCAUGGCCAGAUGUUUCUUUUUUGAAUUAUAAUUUGAUAAUUUAUAAUUGCAUAUAUUUAUAGAACACAAAGUGAUAUGCUUUAUGAACACAACGUGAAAACAUUAAAUUAAGCUAGUUAACAUAUCUAUCACCUCAAAAACUUAACAGUUUUUCAUGAUGAGAACAUUUGGAAUUUACUCUUUCAUCGAUUUUGAAAUGUAUAUUAUUCAAUUGUUAACUAUAUUGAUCACAUUGCACAGUGGCUCUCAGAAAGUAUUCCCUCCUGAGAUUUUAACCUUGAGACCAUCAUCUCCUCUUUCUCCUGACCACCAGCCUAUGAACCACCGUUAUUCUUCUUCUACAAGUUCCAAUGUUUUAUAUUUUAUAUAUAAGUGAGAACAUGUAGUAUCUGUCUUUUGUGCCUGGUUUAUUUCACUUGCAUAAUACUCUUCAGUUAUACUCAUGUUUUUGCCCAUAACAAAAUUUUAUUCUUUUAAAAUUGAAACAGUGUUACAUUAUGUACACAUACCACAUUUCUUUUAUGCAUUCAUCCGUUGAUGGAGACUUAGGUCAAUUCUGUAACUCGGCUAUUGUGAAUACUGCUGCAAUGAACCUGAGAGAGCAGACAUCUCUUUAACAUGAUGAUUUCAAUUUUUUGGAUAAAUAUCCAAAAGUGUAAUUGCCAGGUCAUAUGAUAAUUUGAUUUUCAGUUUUCUGCAGAAACACUAUAAAGUUUUAUAUAAUGUCUUUCUAAUUUACAUUCCUACAAAUAGCGUACAAUAGUUCCCUUCUCUCCACAUUUUUAUCAACACUUGUUAUCUUUUGUCUUUUUAUAGUAGCCAUUCUGAAGGGUGUGUGAUCUCAUAUAACCAAUUUUAACUUGUGUUUUCCUAAUGAUUAAUGAUGCUAAACAGUUUUCAUAUAUCUGUUGGCCAUUUGCAUGUCUUUUGAGAAAUAUAUGUUCACAUCCCUUGCCCGUUUUUUAAUUCGGUCUUUCAGUUUUUGCUCCUAAGUUGCUGAGCUCCUUAUAUAUUUUGGAUAUAAAUUCUCUAUUGGAACUAUGGCCUACAAAUAUUUUCUCUCAAUCCACAGAUUCUCUGCAUACUAUUAAUUAUUUCCUUUGCUGUGAAGAAGCUUUUAAGUUUGAUAUAAUCCCACUUGUCUUUUGGUACUUUUGUUG